CAUGAAUACAGGUAGAAGGGCACUGGGGGUGGGGGAGGUUUUAGGAAAGCCUUAGCUUUCUUAAAAAAGGGGGAGUGAGUACAACUGAUUGAGCUGGUGUAGCUCUCCUUUUUGAUCUGGACCUGAAUGUGAUGUCUAGAACUGAGCAGCCAUCUUAAGACCAGGAAGUGACCUAGCACGGGCGGGACCAGGGUUCGAUCCUCAGCACCACAUAAAAAUAAAGGCAUUGUGUUGUGUCCAUCUACACCACCCCCCCCAAAAAAAAAGAAAGAAAUCCAGUCCUCUAAAACAUCUGAAAGAUUAGAGAAUCCUGGGGUCCUGGUGGUACCUUUGAGUACCUGAACAGCAGAGCGAUCCCUACCUUCAGACUUCUUGGUAAGAAUGGUGAAUUUUAAUUCUGUUUUGAAAUCAGACCAGAGUUUACAUCCUGACCCCCACCUGCUAGAGGUGUGGCCUUGGCCAACACUUGAGGUUCUCAUCUAUAAACAAGACUUGCAAUACCCACCUCUGAGGUUGCUUGGAUUAGACAUGAAUGGAUACAUCGCCUGUCACGUGGGAGGUGUUCACUGGUGGGCCAGCCUUGUGGGAGGUGUGUAAAUUGCAAGGGUGGGAGUAGUGAGAGGAGAUGGCAGAUGAGGUGAGUGAGUCACAGAGGGUACUGUGUGCUAAGCUAAGGAGGUUACAUUUUUAUCUUGUAGGAAAUGGAGAGCCAGCCAAUAACUUUCCCCACAUUUUUUAUUGGUGCAUCAUAGUUGUAUUUAAUAAUGGAAUCUGUUACACAUCCCUCUCUACACAUGACGUAGUAAUUUGGCCAGUGUCACUCGCUACUUGCCACCCCAGUCCCCAGACUCUACUGAUCUCCCUUUGGUUUUCGUGAGAUCUCUGUCCCCACCUUUCUUUUCCUUUUUCCUCUCUAGCUCCCACAUAGGAGAGAAAACACACGACCGUUAACCCAGCCAAGAAUUCUAAGUCCCGAGGAACUCAUGAGGGGACGUGCAUUUAGGAAGUGUGCUCACGUGGAAGACAAAUUAGAGGGAGUGAAGACAGAAACGGAAAGCCGAUGGGGAGACAGUCUCAACAAUCUGUCACUGUUGUCUCACCCAUACCCCUUCAGCACUUCUUACCCCCUCCCGA
This 1134-nucleotide long non-coding RNA is filed under the name Marmota monax (woodchuck). Lineage: Eukaryota; Metazoa; Chordata; Mammalia; Rodentia; Sciuridae. The record is from RNAcentral.